GAGCAUGAAAAGCGAAAAUUCGAGUCUAGAUCUUCACAAACUGUGGAGUUAAUAGGGAGGAAGUUGAAGCGGCGGAAGAGGAGUUAGGUUCUGCAACGGCGGCCGGAGAAGAGUACGGCGAUAGGGAAAGAGUUGGGGCGGGACGGCGGAGAAGAUGGCCCCUAAUCCAAAGUCCACGGCGGCGGCAGCAAAAUGGGGUUGAAGAAUCGGAGGCUGUUUGGGUGAAAUUAGUCGGAAUUUCCAAUUUGUGCGUUGAAAACACGGCGUGAGAAUUCCGUAUGCCGGUUA
This 288-nucleotide unclassified non-coding RNA is filed under the name Hevea brasiliensis (rubber tree). Lineage: Eukaryota; Viridiplantae; Streptophyta; Magnoliopsida; Malpighiales; Euphorbiaceae. The record is from RNAcentral.